Molecule: ribosomal RNA, 119 nt
Filed under: uncultured bacterium
Lineage: Bacteria
Description: partial 16S ribosomal RNA
Rfam family: Bacterial small subunit ribosomal RNA
Source: RNAcentral
CGUUCCCGGGCCUUGUACACACCGCCCGUCACGUCACGAAAGUCGGUAACACCCGAAGCCGGUGGCCCAACCCCCUUGUGGGGAGGGAGCUGUCGAAGGUGGGACUGGCGAUUGGGGCG